UGCGACCGGAACGUAUUUAUUAGAUAUUAGACCAAUCGCAGAAAUGUGAUUGAGAUGAAUCAAAGUAACUGAUCGAAUCGAGGCUUGCUUCGAUAAAUCAUCUAAGUUUCUGCCCUAUCAGCUCUCGAUGGUAGUGUAUUGGACUACCAUGGCAGUCACGGGUAACGGAGAAUUAGGGUUCGAUUCCGGAGAAGGAGCCUGAGAAACGGCUACUACAACUACGGUUCGGCAGCAGGGAAGAAAAUUGGCCAAUCCUAAUUCAGGGAGCCAGUGACAAGAAAUAGCAAGCUGGGAAACCUAGUUUCUACGGCAUUGAAAUGAGAAAAGUGUUAAUCUCUUAGCGAGGAACAAUUGGAGGGCAAGUCAUGGUGCCAGCAGCCGCGGUAAUUCCAGCUCCAAUAGCGUAUAUUAAAGUUGUUGCAGUUAAAAAGCUCGUAGUUGAACUUCUGUUCAGGUUUAUAACGACUCGUCGUGUAAAACUGGACAUACGUUUGCAAACUAAAAUCGGCCUUUACUGGUUCGACUUAGGGAGUAAACAUUUUACUGUGAAAAAAUUAGAGUGUUCCAGGCAGGUUUUAGCCCGAAUACAUUAGCAUGGAAUAAUGGAAUAGGACUAAGUCCAUUUUAUUGGUUCUUGGAUUUGGUAAUGAUUAAUAGGGACAGUUGGGGGCAUUAGUAUUUAAUAGUCAGAGGUGAAAUUCUUGGAUUUAUUAAGGACUAACUAAUGCGAAAGCAUUUGCCAAAGAUGUUUUCAUUAAUCAAGAACGAAAGUUAGGGGAUCAAAGACGAUCAGAUACCGUCGUAGUCUUAACUAUAAACUAUACCGACUCGGGAUCGGCUGGAAUAAAUGUCCAGUCGGCACCGUAUGAGAAAUCAAAGUCUUUGGGUUCUGGGGGAAGUAUGGUACGCAAGUSUGAAACUUAAAGGAAUUGACGGAACAGCACACCAGAAGUGGAACCUGCGGCUUAAUUUGACUCAACACGGGGAAACUCACGAGCGCAAGACAGAGAAGGGAUUGACAGAUUGAGAGCUCUUUCUUGAUUCUUUGGGUGGUGGUGCAUGGCCGUUCUUAGUUGGUGGAGUGAUUUGUCUGGUUAAUUCCGUUAACGAACGAGACCUUAACCUGCUAACUAGUCUGCUUGUGAACAACAGGUUGUACUUCUUAGAGGGACUAUUGUGCAAGAAGCCAAUGGAAGUUUAAGGCAAUAACAGGUCUGUGAUGCCCCUAGACGUGCUCGGCCGCACGCGCGUUACAAUGACUGGCGCAGAAAGUAUUUCCUGUCCUGGGAAGGUACGGGUAAUCUUAUUAAUACCAGUCGUGUUAGGGAUAGUUCUUUGGAAUUGUGGAUCUUGAACGAGGAAUUUCUAGUAAGUGCAAGUCAUCA
Molecule: ribosomal RNA, 1385 nt
Filed under: Tetrahymena wellsae
Lineage: Eukaryota; Ciliophora; Oligohymenophorea; Hymenostomatida; Tetrahymenidae
Description: SSU rRNA
Rfam family: Eukaryotic small subunit ribosomal RNA
Source: RNAcentral